UCCGUAGGCGGUUUAGUAAGUCAGUGGUGAAAGCCCAUCGCUCAACGGUGGAACGGCCAUUGAUACUGCUAGACUUGAAUGCUUAGGAAGUAACUAGAAUAUGUAGUGUAGCGGUGAAAUGCUUAGAUAUUACAUGGAAUACCAAUUGCGAAGGCAGGUUACUACUAAGUGAUUGACGCUGAUGGACGAAAGCGUGGGGAGCGAACAGGAUUAGAUACCCUGGUA
This 225-nucleotide ribosomal RNA is filed under the name uncultured Flavobacterium sp. RNAcentral's name for it is "partial 16S ribosomal RNA". It matches the Rfam family "Bacterial small subunit ribosomal RNA", at positions 568 to 792 of the family's 1533-position model. The record is from RNAcentral. Lineage: Bacteria; Pseudomonadati; Bacteroidota; Flavobacteriia; Flavobacteriales; Flavobacteriaceae.